RNAcentral lists this long non-coding RNA (967 nucleotides) under Corvus moneduloides (New Caledonian crow). Its description in RNAcentral is "lncRNA (ENSCMUG00000019969.1)". Lineage: Eukaryota; Metazoa; Chordata; Aves; Passeriformes; Corvidae. The record is from RNAcentral.
AUCAGGCACGUGAGAGUAUCACAAAUUGAUUAUGGCUACUGCCGUGACCAGAUAUGAAAUAAUGAUUUACACCUCUUUUAUGGCUGGCUGAUAUCUCUUAGUGUUGCAAAUGUACACUCUUUAAUCAGUGGAUUUCCAUUCAUAUUUUCAGUGGCCAUCUGCCCAAAAAGGCCCUGAAUAAGUGGUACUUUUUGAACGAAAAAUGUUAAGGAGGUACCAAACCUUCAAAAUAAUCUGGAUGUGCUCCCUGUUUUAACCAAUCCAGCAAAAUCAUAACUUGUUACCUGCUAGAUGUGGUGUUUUCUUUCCUUUGUUUUCUUCUCCCUAUAGGAGCUCCAUGUUGUGUUCCCACAGCCUUAGAAGGGGUUAGAAGCACGCAAUGGCCACGGGGAGAGGAAGCUACUUUCCAGGCUAAAUCCUCCCUGAUAUAAAUCUGUUCCACUGGCACUGCAUUUUAUCAGGUCAGUGCAGCAGGCAAAGCACGAGAAGUGACACCAAAGCAGGUAAGAGAUCCCCAUUUGUUGUGUGCCCAAAUAUUCCAAGCAAAAGAGUUUACGUCAGCCAUGUGUUCUUUUUCAGGGAGGAGGAGGACAUCAGGAAGUCUCCUAAUCCUUGCUGGGUUGCCAAAUGAUGGAAACGUGAAAGCUGCCAGGAAGAACAGGGAUCAAAAGUGAUACUCCUCUGGUUUGUCUCUCUGAUGCUGCAACCUGGAGACGAGUCAUUUCUGUGAGGAGGUUGUGCAAACAUCAUGUGUUCCUGUGUGGAAAGCAGAGGACACGGCCAGGAGCAACAGGACACGCUGAGCUAAUGACAGAUCUGAAGAAGUGUCAACACCGCAGCCGAACAAGCUCGAGGUGGCAGGAAUGCUGUUCACAGGGGACGUGGGAGUCACAGCAAAUACUCUUUUCAAGGCUGGUUGCUCCUGAUUAAACAGUGUUUUCAGCAGGAAAAGCCAAAAACUUGCCCA